This 450-nucleotide ribosomal RNA is filed under the name uncultured bacterium. RNAcentral's name for it is "partial 16S ribosomal RNA". It matches the Rfam family "Bacterial small subunit ribosomal RNA", at positions 338 to 795 of the family's 1533-position model. The record is from RNAcentral.
CCUACGGGAGGCUGCAGUGAGGAAUAUUGGGCAAUGCCCGCAAGGGUGACCCAGCAACGCCGCGUGGAGGAUGAAGGCCGUAAGGUUGUAAACUCCUGUUAGAGGAGAAGAAUAGUACCGAUUGUAUCGGUAUUUGACUGUACCCUCAGAGAAAGCCCCGGCUAACUACGUGCCAGCAGCCGCGGUAAUACGUAGGGGGCCGGCGUUGUCCGGAUUUACUGGGUGUAAAGGGGGCGCAGAAGUGAUAGGAGAAAUCCUACAGCUUAACUGUAGAAGUGCCUUUGAUACUGUUAUUCUUGAGUACGGGAGAGGGAGACGGAAUUCCAGGUGUAGUGGUGAAAUACGUAGAUAUCUGGAAGAACACCAGUUGCGAAGGCGGUCUCUUGGUCCGAUACUGACGCUGAGGCGCGAAAGCGUGGGGAGCAAACAGGAUUAGAUACCCCGGUAGUC